UGUGUGCUGCGGGGUGCGUGAACCAGCUUAAUCCCGGAGGCCGAUAAUCAACGCUAGGGAGCUGUCCCUGUCUUGAUCCACUCUCACUGCAUUGGGGAUCUUUUAAUACGGCACCCACCUAUUUUUAUAGGGGCCACGCGUGGAUUUCAUAUGGUCACGGCUUGUGCGGCACACUU
RNAcentral lists this non-coding RNA (176 nucleotides) under Micavibrio sp. RNAcentral describes it as "6S RNA". It matches the Rfam family "6S / SsrS RNA". From Rfam's summary of the family: E. coli 6S RNA was the first non coding RNA to be sequenced, but its function was unknown until recently. It consists of 184 nucleotides that fold into an extended hairpin structure with a large single-stranded internal bulge. The record is from RNAcentral. Lineage: Bacteria; Pseudomonadati; Bdellovibrionota; Bdellovibrionia; Bdellovibrionales; Pseudobdellovibrionaceae.